AUUUAUUUCAAUAAAUUAGUUAGGAUGUGGAAGACGCUUCUCACAAUCCAAAUUUCUCCUUAGUUUUAGUAUGAUUAGGAAACGUUCGCUAAUCAAACACUAGUUAACAAGUUGCCAAGGAACGUCCUUGGGGUUUUUUACUUUUCAACUGUUAACUGCCUUAAGACUUAGAGAAACCUAAUUCUAACCUUGCCAACCGCGUGGUCAAGUUUAGAUUAUGCAACCGAUUAUACUUGAGUUUAAACAAUCUAAGCAAUUACGGACCUAAAUCAUUCAAACAAUAUAUUACUCAUGCAAUUAAAAGCAAUAGGCCUUAAUUGAUUCUAAAAGCAAAGCAAUAAUAAUAGAAAGAUCAAGUUGCAUAAAUAUUGAAAAUAAAUAAGAGUUUAAUAAUGGAGUUUUAAAUCUCCCAAUUCAUCACAAAUAUGAAAUUUCCCAACUUCAACUAGAAAAUAAGGUGUUUAGCCACUCAUGGUGGACAAAAACACAAAGAGAUAGAAGAAAGGAAGAUGGAGAGGCUGUCGCAGGCUUGCUGCUGUAAUUCUGCAGUGGUUCCGAUGGUGGAGAUGAUCCUUGCUGGUUUUGAUGCUGUCCCUUUUAUAGAUGGAGAAACAUAAUCCAAUUAGGGUUUGGAAAUCCUAAUCUUGACUUGGUCUUUUAUAGUCUUUGAUUCCUCUUUUGAUUUUGUAUUUAAUUGUGAAUGGAAUUGUUUGAGUGAAAAGACCUUCUCGUGGCUCUUGGAAUUGACUUUGUAGUGUUUGAAGUAGGAUUGAGCUUCUCCUCUUUUGAAUUUUGAUUUUCUGCUCUUCUUUCCCGCGCUUCUGGUUUCUCUGGCGUUAGUGUGAUUUGGGCGGGUGAUUUGGGCAAAUUACUUGCCCAAAUCGUUUCUGUGAAUCACUUCCAGGUUUCUGCCUUUAGCCUUCUGCUUUGGUUUCCUGUGGGUGAUUUGGUCAAAUCACUCUGACCCAAUCAAUUUUUCAGCUUUUUCUGCACUUUUUCUCCAACUUUCCAUUUUCUCCCUUUUCUGCAAAAACAUUACAAAAACAUAAAUUAAAAUGAAAAAUUGUGUAAUUAAACAGUAAUAAAGAUAGAAAAAAUGUGGCUAAAUUAUGUUUGAUGAAAUACCCUCACACCUAACCUUUUGCUUGUCCUCAAGCAACAAAUAACUUAGUCAAUCAAGCCUCUUUUUCUUUUGAGCCUAAGUACCACUUAAUCAGCCCCCCUUGAUUCCCAAAUUGAAGCACUACGGUGUAGAGUAUAUGCACUUAAGGUUGCCCUCUCUUUCUUUGUUUCUUCCCACCCACCAUGGCCAAGAAAAAGUUUUCUAUUUGAUCAUGCUUAUUGUUUCAUUUUAGGCUUAAUGCAACCUCUAAGAGUGACUUGCCUCUUUUUAUUUUCAUUCAGCAGCACUUUUUCUUAUUCUUGCCUGAAAAAGUCACCAACCUUUUUACGCGAAGGUGCAUAUUGGUGAUACCCACUCCCGGUUACUCAGUUGGUCACUUGUUCAAGUGGCUACUAGCUCUGUUCAUAGUCUUUGACCAUCGAAACAGGUUAUGUUUUGUGCUUUUUGAUUUUGCUGAGUUAUUAUUUUUUUUUUCUUUUCUUUUUCUUUUUUUCAUAACAGUUUGGGCAAAUCAGCUCAUAGAGAGUCACACUAACUUUUUAUUGCAUGUAUAUAUAUUUUUCCCUUGACCAUAGCAAGUGCAAAGAUCCAAUUUAAGAGAAAAACUCCAUAAGUGAAGGUAACACACUGUAAAUUAUUCAAUUUAGGCUUAAAGGGUUGGAAAAUUUAAUGGGGUCAUGAGAUAGGAGGCUCUUUUAACUUUGUCAUCUAUGCUGAGUAGAGCAAAGGCUAAAACAAAAUCUGUGUGUGUGUGCAUGUGUGCAGAAGUGAAUAUGAGUGCAAAAAGAAAUGUGUGUGAGAGAAAAAAAAAGUUGGUGUGUGUAAAAGGGUAGAAAAUGCAAAAAGAAGAAAAAAGAAAGCAAAAGAUGGUGCAAACAGUGCAAAAAUAUUCCCCAGUACCCCCACACCUAGUCUAAACAUUAUCCUCAAUGUAAAACAUAUAGAGAAAAAUUAAGAGAGAAAGGGACUUCCUGAUCUAGGGGUGAUUUGGUCAGUGAUUUGGGCAAAUCACUCGGCCAAAUCACUGGCUGCCAUGGUCUGUGGGCAGAAAGUUGUCCACCAGCAAUUGCAGUAGGUGCUCCAUGUGUAUGAUUCGGGCCUCCAUUUUGUCAAGGCGAGAUUCUGCAGAUUGAUCAACUGUUGGAGGUUCUGCUGAUUUGGACAGUGAUUUGGGCAAAUCACAAUCACCUUUGCUGUAGUUAAGUUCUGCUGAUUUUUCCAUCGAUUUGCGCAAAUCGCCUAUGCUGGGUUGCCUCCCAGUAGCACCCUGGUUUAAAGUCGUGGGCUGGACUUUCCUGACUUGAUCAAGGCUCAAGUAAUUGGGGGAGGGAAAAGAGUCCCAACAGAAUUAAGUAAGAAGUGCAGCACACCUUUCGUUUUGGUUAUAACCCAUCCUAUUUCUUUUAUGUACUCAUGAAGUAACAUGUUUAGUUUCUCCUCUUUCAAGUGAGGUGUGCCUCUAGCCCCUAUGUUUGAAUUUUUUAGGUGAUUGGGCAGUACUUUGAACUCCAAUUCAUAUUUCUCCAUAAAUGGUGGCUGCAAUCUGGUACUGAACUUGGGCAAAUCGAAUUCUGCUUGCACUGAUGAUUUGGGCAAAUCAAAAUCUGUCGGCGCUGCUGAUUUGGGCAAAUUGAAUUCUACCUGUACAAGUGAUCUGGGCAAAUCAGAUUCUGCCUGUACAAGUGAUUUGGGCAAAUCGCCUCUAGACCAGUCUGUGCAGCAUGUUGUCUCUUCUGUUUUUGUUUCUUUCAAAUUUUUCCUAUUCUCUUCAUCCUCUUGGCUGGUGUCCCUUGGUAUUUGUUUGACAGCAUCUAGGAGAGGUAUAUUGAUCUCCACUUUGUGAAAGGUUGCAAGUAUUUCUUUCUCUUCUUUUUCUUUUUGUGAUCUUGCAAAUCUCUUUGGGAAGGGAGGAGGUACCUUGAACUUUUCUGCUGGUUGCUGUAUUGUUUUUUGCCUCCGACUAGAUUCUGCCUGGUCUGUUGAUUUGGGCAAAUCAAUUUCUGCCCUUUCUGGUGAUUUGGGCAAAUCGAUUUUGCCUGGCUGUCCUGUCUGUCCACUGAUUGGGUCCGCGAUUUGGGCAAAUCGAUGCCCCUGAUCACUUUCCGGCAGUUUCUCCUUAGCAACCUGUUUUUGAAUUUGGGCAGAUCGCAGCUCAUCCUUGCUGUCUUGAAGCUUUUUCCCACUCCUUAGUGUAAUGGCACUAACAUUCUGCCUUGGAUUGAUUUCAGUUUGGGAGGGUAGCUUUCCUUGUGAUUCAAGCUUACUCAUUGAAGUGGCCAUUUGCUGCUCAAGGUUUUGCACCGAAUUUGCUAAGGAUUUCACGAUCUCUUCAAGGGAAGUGUUGGACUUUUGAGGUGCUGCUUAGGCUGGAUUUCUUUGUUGAUAGCUUGGAUAUUGAUUGGCCCUUGCAUAACUGAAGUUCGGAUGGUCCCUCCAACCUGGGUUGUAGGUGUUAGAAUAAGGAUCAUACCUCCUUUGCCCAUUAAAUCCUCGUACUUGCUGGUCCUCUUCUUGAAGGGAGAGACAUAGGUCAGUAGGGUGACUCAAGUUUGCACAUAUUCCACAUGGUUUGGGCUGCUGAAUCUGCUGGACUUGUUGGGCUUGACCCACAACAAGGCUACGGACAACAUUGAUGAGAUUAGAAAUUUGGGAUGCUAAAGUGGAUGUACUCACCUCAUUCACCCUUCUUGGUGGCUGUUCUUGGUCUCCAAAUUGCUGUGAGGCUGCUGCAAUGGUGGAAAUUAAAUCCCUUAUGGCUUGAGGUGACUUGUCUUCAAUUGAUCCUCCACAUGCUGCGCCUAUGAACUUUCUUUCCGAAGGUAGCAAACCUCCAUAGAAGUAUUCAAUGAGUGACUUAUCAAAGAUGUCAUGUUGAGGGCAGCUUGUGCACAAUCGACUGAAUCUUUCCCAAUAUUCAUAUAGCUCUUCAUAAUCCUUUUGCUUGAUGCAACUGAUCUCUCUUCUGAUGCCAAUAGCUUUUGAGGUUGGGAAGUAUUUGCUCAAAAAGACUCUCACCAUCCCGUCCCAUGAAGUGAUGGAUCCAUGUGGUAAAUAGAUCAACCAAUCUUUGGCAAAAUCAUCAAGAGAAAAGGAAAAAGCUCUUAAUUUAACAUGCUCUUGGGAAAUACCUUGAGGCCUCAUUGUUGAACACACAAUGUGAAAUUCUUUAAGGUGCUUGUAUGGAUCUUCAUUUUUCAGACUUCUGAAUUUUGGAAGGAAAUGAAUUAAUCCAGUUUUGAGCUCAAAAGGGGCUGCCAAAGGUGGGUAAGCGAUGCACCAUAGUGCUUGAUCAUCCAAGGGUGUUGCUAGUUCACGAAGAGUUCUUUCUUGUGCCAUUGGAGAUCUUGCCUCAACGUUUUUAGCUUCAAAUUCAGCAAGGACAGCAGCUGGUUCAAGAGUAGUAGCUGCUGCAUUUUCUAACUCUUCAGGUGCUAUUGUGACUAUCUUUAUAACAGCUGGUUUAGCUACUGUUUUAGGGGCUGGUUCUGGGAUUUUGUUAGCAAAAAUUUCUGGUUUUAGGGCUGAUUCUGGUGCAGUUUUAAGGGUUGGUUUUGAGUGCAGUAGCUUGUGCAGCAACAGAUUCAAUAAGUGCAGCAUGUACAGCAGUUUCAGCAAUUGGUUCAGCAACUUAUUCAACAGGUACAACAACGAUUUGUGCAGCAGGUUGUAUGGCAGAUACCAGAUUUGUUGCUGUUGUUGAUGAAGAUGGUUUGAGGCUUGGUUCCUCAAGUUUGCUUGCUUCCUCAAGCUCUUGGCAGUACGUUCAAUCUCUGGAUUGUAAAGAAGAGUUUCUUGACGAUUAGCCUUGGUCAUAAAAGGAAAAUACGUUAGUUAGAUCAAAUCCCCGGCAACGGCGCCAAUUUUUGAUAGCGAUUGUGGAAGCCGUAAAAAAUAAAUCUAUUUUCAAUCAACAAAAUAAUUUGUAGAUAGUGGCAAUAGGGUCGAACCACAUGGAUUUGACACUACGAAUUUUCCUAAUAAUGACUUGGACAAAUAAAUAACAAAAGUAAAUAAAAGGAGGGGGGUUUGUUUUGAAGAAUUACAACUGAGUAAAAGAAAGCAGUAAUUAAAUAAAUGAGUAAAUCCAUGGGAGAAGGAUUCUAGUUGAAGUAUGGAUUUAUUUCAGCUUGUUUAGAAUUGAUCAUUGAUCUUUUUGAUACCCCUAUUUAUUUCAAUAAAUUAGUUAGGAUGUGGAAGACGCUUCUCACAAUCCAAAUUUCUCCUUAGUUUUAGUAUGAUUAAGAAAUAUUCGCUAAUCAAACACUAGUUAACAAGUUGCCAAGGAACGUCCUUGGGGUUUUUUACUUUUCAACUGUUAACUGCCUUAAGACUUAGAGAAACCUAAUUCUAACCUUGCCAACCGCGUGGUCAAGUUUAGAUUAUGCAACCGAUUAUACUUGAAUUUAAACAAUCUAAGCAAUUACGGACCUAAAUCAUUCAAACAAUAUAUUACUCAUGCAAUUAAAAGCAAUAGGCCUUAAUUGAUUCUAAAAGCAAAGCAAUAAUAAUAGAAAGAUCAAGUUGCAUAAAUAUUGAAAAUAAAUAAGAGUUUAAUAAUGGAGUUUUAAAUCUCCCAAUUCAUCACAAAUAUGAAAUUUCCCAACUUCAACUAGAAAAUAAGGUGUUUAGCCACUCAUGGUGGACAAAAACACAAAGAGAUAGAAGAAAGGAAGAUGGAGAGGCUGCCGCAGGCUUGCUGCUGUAAUUCUGCAGUGGUUCCGAUGGUGGAGAUGAUCCUUGCUGGUUUUGAUGCUGUCCCUUUUAUAGAUGGAGAAUCAUAAUCCAAUUAGGGUUUGGAAAUCCUAAUCUUGACUUGGUCUUUUGUAGUCUUUGAUUCCUCUUUUGAUUUUGUAUUUAAUUGUGAAUGGAAUUCUUUGAGUGAAAAGACCUUCUCGUGGCUCUUGGAAUUGACUUUGUAGUGUUUGAAGUAGGAUUGGACUUCUCCUGUUUUGAAUUUUGAUUUUCUGCUCUUCUUUCCCGCGCUUCUGGUUUCUCUGGCGUCAGUGUGAUUUGGGCGGGUGAUUUGGGCAAAUCACUUGCCCAAAUCGUUUCUGUGAAUCACUUUCAGGUUUCUGCCUUUAGCCUUCUGCCUUGGUUUUCUGCAGGUGAUUUGGUCAAAUCACUCUAGCCCAAUCAAUUUCCCAGCUUUUUCUGCACUUUUUCUCCAACUUUCCAUUUUCUCCCUUUUCUGCAAAAACAUUACAAAAACAUAAAUUAAGCUGAAAAUUUGUGUAAUUAAACAGUAAUAAAGAUAGAAAAAAAUGUGGCUAAAUUAUGUUUGAUGAGAAGGGCAUAAGAGUUACUUCCAAUAUAGUUUAAUCUAAUUAGAUUAAGGCCCUAUUUUGUUUGGUAUUGAGUUUUAAGGUCAAAUAACAUUUUUUAUGCAGUUUGAAGAAUCUGUUUUGUAUUUUAGUAUUUUUAUGGUUAAAACAUGUCAAAUAAGCUUAAUCCUUUUUUGAUAUUUUAACUAAUAUAUUUAAGCAAGUGUUUUUCUCCAUAGCAUCUCUAAUAGCAAUGCCAAAGACCCUAUAUCAAGUUGAACACUUCCAUUUUUUAAAAACUAGCUUUGUCAGAAUGCUACCUUUCAUAUAUAGUGUUAAUAAUUUAUUAUGAC
This 6737-nucleotide long non-coding RNA is filed under the name Manihot esculenta (cassava). Its description in RNAcentral is "long non-coding RNA (MESC_LNC003501)". Lineage: Eukaryota; Viridiplantae; Streptophyta; Magnoliopsida; Malpighiales; Euphorbiaceae. The record is from RNAcentral.